Molecule: unclassified non-coding RNA, 374 nt
Filed under: soil metagenome
Description: partial contains internal transcribed spacer 2 and large subunit ribosomal RNA
Rfam family: 5.8S ribosomal RNA (bases 1-120)
Source: RNAcentral
GAUGAAGAACGUAGCGAAAUACGAUAAUUAAUGUGAAUUGCAGAAUUCCGUGAAUCAUCGAGUCUUUGAAUGCACAUUGCACCUCAUGGCAUUCCGUGAGGCAUGCCCAUCUCAGCGUUAGAAAAUAUUCUCAAAUUUUAGUUUUGUGCUAAAAUUUGGAUCAUGUCAAAGAAGCUAUUACUAUUAUUGUGAUCGCUCUUUGGAAAUUGAUAGGUCUUUGAGUUGCUACUCAUAGAACGUGAUGAAUCUUUCUUCGUUCUAUUGUAAUUCACUCUGGUAGUCCUAAAACUUGUAUGCCUGUGGCAUAUCUUGUAAUUUGACCUGAGAUUGGGUAGGGAUACCCGCUGAACUUAAGCAUAUCAAUAAGCGGAGGA